GUAUCAUAACUUCUUGGGUUUUGUGGUGAGUGCUACUUUUAAAUUGAACGUCGAUGGUUGCAUGUGGGUGAAUUUGGAAUGCAAAUUCAAGUCCAAUGAUGGCGAUAACUAUUGUAAUAGUACAGGCUUUGAGUUUGAGUAUUGUGAUGAUCAUAUAAUUCAAUCGACAAAGCACGUGUUCAUGUCCUACAAUAACGAGUUUUAUAUCCAUGUUGAGGAGAAAGGAGGCAGCAUGCCAUCUUAUAGUGAGGUAUCAUUUCAAUUUAUCAGUAAAGAUGACUAUGGAAAUCCUUUUCCUUCUUCCGCGGUUAUAAAGCGUGGGGUCCAACUACUCUACAAUGGUGAUACUGAUCAUGAAUCAAGUAAGCAUGAAGAUGAAUCCAGCGACACGUGCAGCUUCAUUGAGCAAGAAGAGGAAGCUGAUGUUGAUAAAACUAGUGACAAGUUGAGCUUCAUCAAGGAAGAAGAUGAAAUAAGUAGUUGGUCUAAUAAUGAUAAAGAGGAUGAAGUCAUUCAGGAAGAAGAGGAAGCUUCAGAUGAAAUAAAUAGCAGGUCAUAUCAAGAGGAUAAGGUUGAUGAAUUUAGUCCAGCAACACAUUCAGCUUCAUUAAGGAAGAAGAGGAAGCUGAUAGAA
This 634-nucleotide unclassified non-coding RNA is filed under the name Hevea brasiliensis (rubber tree). The record is from RNAcentral. Lineage: Eukaryota; Viridiplantae; Streptophyta; Magnoliopsida; Malpighiales; Euphorbiaceae.